CCUACGGGAGACAGCAGUAGGGAAUAUUGCUCAAUGGGGGAAACCCUGAAGCAGCAAAGCCGCGUGGAGGAUGAAGGUUUUAGGAUUGUAAACUCCUUUUGUUAGAGGAGAUUAUGACGGUAUCUAACGGAUAAGCACCGGCUAACUCCGAGCCAGCAGCCGCGGUAAUACGGAGAGUGCAAGCGUUACGCGGAAUCACUGGGCGUAAAGCGUGCGUAGGCGGGGUAAUAAGUCAGAUGUGAAAUCCUGUAGCUUAACCAGAGAACUGCAGUGGAAACUGUUACUCUUGAGUGUGCGAGAGGUAGGUGGAAUGCGUGGUGUAGCGGUAAAAUCCGUAGAGAUCAAGAAGAAUACUCAUUGCGAAGGCGACCUGCUGGAACAUUACUGACGCUGAUGCACGAAAGCGUGGGGAGCAAACAGGAUUAGAUACCCGGGUAGUC
This 440-nucleotide ribosomal RNA is filed under the name uncultured bacterium. RNAcentral describes it as "partial 16S ribosomal RNA". It matches the Rfam family "Bacterial small subunit ribosomal RNA", at positions 338 to 795 of the family's 1533-position model. The record is from RNAcentral.